CCCUUAGAUGUUCUGGGCAGCACGCGCGCUACAAUGGUCUUCGCAAACGGAUGCAUUCUCGAAGGAGAAUGCCAAUCUUGGAAUCUAUGCCUUGGUCGGGACAGUUGCUUGCAAUUUUUCGACUCGAACCAGGAAUUCCUUGUAAUCGUGAUUCAUCACAUCACGAUGAAUACGUCCCUGCCCUUUGUACACACCGCCCGUCGCUCCUACCGAUCGAAGAGUUAGGUGAAUUGUUUUGAUCGAUAAGAUUUGACUAUGGUCAACUCUCGUUGUGAAAUUCUGUGAAUCUGACUGUUUAGAGGAAGGAAAAAUCGUAACAA
Molecule: ribosomal RNA, 320 nt
Filed under: uncultured eukaryote
Lineage: Eukaryota
Description: partial 18S ribosomal RNA
Rfam family: Eukaryotic small subunit ribosomal RNA
Source: RNAcentral